This 468-nucleotide ribosomal RNA is filed under the name uncultured bacterium. RNAcentral describes it as "partial 16S ribosomal RNA". It matches the Rfam family "Bacterial small subunit ribosomal RNA", at positions 28 to 507 of the family's 1533-position model. The record is from RNAcentral.
GACGAACGCUGGCGGCGUGCUUAACACAUGCAAGUCGAACGGAAAGGCCCUGCUUUUGUGGGGUGCUCGAGUGGCGAACGGGUGAGUAACACGUGAGUAACCUGCCCUUGACUUUGGGAUAACUUCAGGAAACUGGGGCUAAUACCGGAUAGGAGCUCCUGCUGCAUGGUGGGGGUUGGAAAGUUUCGGCGGUUGGGGAUGGACUCGCGGCUUAUCAGCUUGUUGGUGGGGUAGUGGCUUACCAAGGCUUUGACGGGUAGCCGGCCUGAGAGGGUGACCGGCCACAUUGGGACUGAGCUACGGCCCAGACUCCUACGGGAGGCAGCAGUGGGGAAUAUUGCACAAUGGGCGGAAGCCUGACGCAGCAACGCCGCGUGCGGGAUGACGGCCUUCGGGUUGUAAACCGCUUUCGCCUGUGACGAAGCGUGAGUGACGGUAAUGGGUAAAGAAGCACCGGCUAACUACGUG